UACGUAGGGUGCGAGCGUUAAUCGGAAUUACUGGGCGUAAAGGGCGCGUAGGCGGCCUUCUAAGUCAGACGUGAAAUCCCCCGGCUUAACCUGGGAACUGCGUCUGAUACUGGGAGGCUUGAGUAUGGGAGAGGGAUGUAGAAUUCCAGGUGUAGCGGUGAAAUGCGUAGAUAUCUGGAGGAAUACCGGUGGCGAAGGCGGCAUCCUGGACCAUAACUGACGCUGAGGCGCGAAAGCUAGGGGAGCAAACGGG
RNAcentral lists this ribosomal RNA (253 nucleotides) under uncultured bacterium. RNAcentral's name for it is "partial 16S ribosomal RNA". It matches the Rfam family "Bacterial small subunit ribosomal RNA", at positions 524 to 776 of the family's 1533-position model. The record is from RNAcentral.